GUUAGGAAUAUUGGACAAUGGGCGAAAGCCUGAUCCAGCCAUGCCGCGUGAACGAUGAAGGCCUUCGGGUUGUAAAGUUCUUUAGCCGAUGAUUAUAAUGACUGUAGUCGGAAAAUAAGCCCCGGCUAACUUCGUGCCAGCAGCCGCGGUAAUACGAAGGGGGCGAGCGUUAUUCGGAAUCACUGGGCGUAAAGCGUGCGUAGGCGGUUUUGUAAGUUGGGAGUGAAAGCCCAGGGCUCAACCUUGGAAUUGCUCUUAAAACUGCAAGGCUCGAAUCUCGGAGAGGAUAGCGGAAUUUCCAGUGUAGCAGUGAAAUGCGUAGAUAUUGGAAGGAACACCAGUGGCGUAAGCGGCUAUCUGGACGAGUAUUGACGCUGAGGCACGAAAGCGUGGGGAUCAAACAGGAUUAGAUACCCGAGUAGUCC
This 425-nucleotide ribosomal RNA is filed under the name uncultured bacterium. RNAcentral describes it as "partial 16S ribosomal RNA". It matches the Rfam family "Bacterial small subunit ribosomal RNA", at positions 354 to 796 of the family's 1533-position model. The record is from RNAcentral.